Molecule: ribosomal RNA, 468 nt
Filed under: uncultured bacterium
Lineage: Bacteria
Description: partial 16S ribosomal RNA
Rfam family: Bacterial small subunit ribosomal RNA
Source: RNAcentral
GACGAACGCUGGCGGCGUGCUUAACACAUGCAAGUCGAACGGAAAGGCCCUGCUUUUGUGGGGUGCUCGAGUGGCGAAAGGGUGAGUAACACGUGAGUAACCUGCCCUUGACUUUGGGAUAACUUCAGGAAACUGGGGCUAAUACCGGAUAGGAGCUCCUGCUGCAUGGUGGGGGUUGGAAAGUUUCGGCGGUUGGGGAUGGACUCGCGGCUUAUCAGCUUGUUGGUGGGGUAGUGGCUUACCAAGGCUUUGACGGGUAGCCGGCCUGAGAGGGUGACCGGCCACAUUGGGACUGAGAUACGGCCCAGACUCCUACGGGAGGCAGCAGUGGGGAAUAUUGCACAAUGGGCGGAAGCCUGAUGCAGCAACGCCGCGUGCGGGAUGACGGCCUUCGGGUUGUAAACCGCUUUCGCCUGUGACGAAGCGUGAGUGACGGUAAUGGGUAAAGAAGCACCGGCUAACUACGUG